AGCAGACAACCUGUUUGUUGUGUUUUACAAAUUGUAAAAUACGUAAGCACACCAUAUAUGUCCUGCUUCUGAUUAAAAAAACUCAUAACACUUCUGUGAAAGGACGUCUACCUUGCUGUGGGAGGAACUUGGCUGUGGCCUGCGGGGAUUCCUCAGCCAUAAAGUUGCGUCACAGCAAAGUAUUUAAGCGAGCUCUGCUAUCAAUAGUUCAAACCUGUUCCUUCUUGUUGAACAACAACUACAGAGCUAUAGCAGCGCUGAGGGGAAGAAGAAAAACCAAACCUUUUACCGGCUCCUCUGAGACAGUGUUGUGAGAGAAAUGGCUGGCCACGGUAAGAGACUCAAAAAACUAUUCAACUUGACAUCUUUUUAUCUUAACUUCAUUGACUUGUAUUAGAUCAUGAGUUCUUACUUUUUCCUCUUUCGCUUUCAGAUUUGGCUGAAACCCUUGACACUUGCGCAAACGAGCUGCGUCAAAUUGGAGACGUACUUGACUGGAAAUACAAACUGCUGGAGAUUCUGAUCAAGAACUACAAGACUGUCACAAAAAUCUAACAUGAAAUGUCUCCUUAGACCAUGAGGAGGAAAUGGAUUUUUGUAAAACUCUAUGGCGUUUUGAGCCAAAGUUGAAGAGUCUCGGAUUUGGACUCAUAAACUGGAGGUUGCAUUCGAGGUGAAUGUGAGCAUGUGGAAACAUCUUGGAGGGGAUGUUGGAUGUGCGCUGUCUGUGGACUGCUGUCAUUCAAGUCAGGACCGCCACAGAAGAAAUCAGACAUGUGGGAUGGUGUUGACCCUCCAUUUGGGACCCACUGGUGACUGAAGCCAAAGUAGAACAACUGAAUGGACGCUAUGUGCCGAGGUGCUGAUUGUCACAUGUGCUCUGAUUGUGUUUGGACAAUAGUGCAUAUAAUACUGUCACUUUAGAGUUCUCUGGAGAACUGAUGACUGAAGAAUUAAGACACUUUCUGGUCUGUGAUGACUGUCUGUCUUUCAAAAUGAAACUAUUUAAUGAAGAAUAAAC
Molecule: non-coding RNA, 1021 nt
Organism: Xyrichtys novacula (pearly razorfish)
Lineage: Eukaryota; Metazoa; Chordata; Actinopteri; Labriformes; Labridae
Source: the annotation of a GenBank genome assembly